GAUGAACGCCGGCGGCGUGCCUAAUACAUGCAAGUCGAGCGGUAAGGCCCCUUCGGGGGUACACGAGCGGCGGACGGCUGAGUAACACGUAGGAACGUACCCCAAAGUGAGGGAUAAGCACCAGAAAUGGUGUCUAAUACCGCAUGUGCUCUAAGGAGUAAAGCUUCGGCGCUUUGGGAACGGCCUGCGCAUGAUUAGCUUGUUGGUGAGGUAAUGGCUCACCAAGGCGACGAUCAUUAGCUGGUCUGAGAGGAUGAUCAGCCAGACUGGGACUGAGACACGGCCCAGACUCCUACGGGAGGCAGCAGUAGGGAAUUUUCCACAAUGGGGGCAACCCUGAUGGAGCAACGCCGCGUGCAGGAUGAAGGCCUUCGGGUCGUAAACUGCUUUUAUAUGUGACGAAUAUGACGGUAGCAUAUGAAUAAGGAUCGGCUAACACCGUGCCAGCAGCCGCAGUAA
RNAcentral lists this ribosomal RNA (459 nucleotides) under uncultured bacterium. Its description in RNAcentral is "partial 16S ribosomal RNA". It matches the Rfam family "Bacterial small subunit ribosomal RNA", at positions 28 to 523 of the family's 1533-position model. The record is from RNAcentral.